Molecule: ribosomal RNA, 752 nt
Filed under: Salmonella enterica
Lineage: Bacteria; Pseudomonadati; Pseudomonadota; Gammaproteobacteria; Enterobacterales; Enterobacteriaceae
Also listed under: 2 other names
Description: partial 23S ribosomal RNA
Rfam family: Bacterial large subunit ribosomal RNA
Source: RNAcentral
CUGUGAAGAUGCAGUGUACCCGCGGCAAGACGGAAAGACCCCGUGAACCUUUACUAUAGCUUGACACUGAACAUUGAGCCUUGAUGUGUAGGAUAGGUGGGAGGCUUUGAAGUGUGGACGCCAGUCUGCAUGGAGCCGACCUUGAAAUACCACCCUUUAAUGUUUGAUGUUCUAACGUGGACCCGUGAUCCGGGUUGCGGACAGUGUCUGGUGGGUAGUUUGACUGGGGCGGUCUCCUCCUAAAGAGUAACGGAGGAGCACGAAGGUUGGCUAAUCCUGGUCGGACAUCAGGAGGUUAGUGCAAUGGCAUAAGCCAGCUUGACUGCGAGCGUGACGGCGCGAGCAGGUGCGAAAGCAGGUCAUAGUGAUCCGGUGGUUCUGAAUGGAAGGGCCAUCGCUCAACGGAUAAAAGGUACUCCGGGGAUAACAGGCUGAUACCGCCCAAGAGUUCAUAUCGACGGCGGUGUUUGGCACCUCGAUGUCGGCUCAUCACAUCCUGGGGCUGAAGUAGGUCCCAAGGGUAUGGCUGUUCGCCAUUUAAAGUGGUACGCGAGCUGGGUUUAGAACGUCGUGAGACAGUUCGGUCCCUAUCUGCCGUGGGCGCUGGAGAACUGAGGGGGGCUGCUCCUAGUACGAGAGGACCGGAGUGGACGCAUCACUGGUGUUCGGGUUGUCAUGCCAAUGGCACUGCCCGGUAGCUAAAUGCGGAAGAGAUAAGUGCUGAAAGCAUCUAAGCACGAAACUUGCCCCGA